GCAGUAGCCACGGUAAUACGAAGGGGGCUAGCGUUGUUCGGAAUCACUGGGCGUAAAGCGCACGUAGGCGGAUACUUAAGUCAGGGGUGAAAUCCCGGGGCUCAACCUCGGAACUGCCUUUGAUACUGGGUAUCUUGAGUCCGGGAGAGGUUGGUGGAACUCCGAGUGUAGAGGUGAAAUUCGUAGAUAUUCGGAAGAACACCAGUGGCGAAGGCGACUCUCUGGUCUGUAACUGACGCUGAGGAGCGAAAGCGUGGGGAGCGAACAGGAUUAGAUACCCGCGUAGUCCCUGUCUCUUAUAC
RNAcentral lists this ribosomal RNA (302 nucleotides) under uncultured bacterium. RNAcentral describes it as "partial 16S ribosomal RNA". It matches the Rfam family "Bacterial small subunit ribosomal RNA", at positions 508 to 807 of the family's 1533-position model. The record is from RNAcentral.